CUAACCUUCCUAACUUAACCCCACACAGGCAGAGGCUCCUUCCAACCCAAGAAAACCACUAAACGACGACGCUUUAAGGCUAUUGCUGCAGCUGCUACCUACAUACACAUACACUUUAGCUGACAAAGAAAAGUCAGUGUAGCUCUGCGAUUCCAAAUUCGCAAAUCGCAACCGAUUUAUGAUCCAUCUCUCCGAUUCCACAUAGAGAGAGAGAGAGAGAGAGAGAUGUGGGUGUUUUACCUGAUCUCGCUCCCUCUAACCACGGGCAUGGUGCUUUUCACGCUUAGGUACUUCGCCGGUCCCUAUGUGCCUCGCUACGUGCUCUUCACCGUU
This 333-nucleotide long non-coding RNA is filed under the name Glycine max (soybean). RNAcentral's name for it is "long non-coding RNA (GMAX_LNC002554)". The record is from RNAcentral. Lineage: Eukaryota; Viridiplantae; Streptophyta; Magnoliopsida; Fabales; Fabaceae.